AACUAUGUUUGAUUAAAUAAAGGUAAUAGAUGGUGGGACAUAAAAAUGAAAAGAUCAUUGUUCAGUAAUAAAGAAAUAUCAUCAUCUUAUUGGUAAGAGCCCAAUGCUUGAAAUUCAAGCAACAUCAUCACAAAAAAUCUAUUGUCAUUCCAAAUCCUACAUUUUAUUACCUUUAUUUAUUCCUCCAUUACAUCUACUAAUGAUUUUCUUCUAAAUCAACCACCACUAUUGAUAAUUCAUUCAUUAAGCCUAUUGCUCAUUACACAUUAUUUUAAUGGCAUUAGCUCGUCUCAGGAUUAUUAAUCAACUGACUUCUCUGUCAAAUCCUGUUUCUGAAAAUAAACUCAUAUAUCUCCAAUA
RNAcentral lists this small nuclear RNA (360 nucleotides) under Cryptosporidium parvum. Lineage: Eukaryota; Apicomplexa; Conoidasida; Eucoccidiorida; Cryptosporidiidae. The record is from RNAcentral.